This 182-nucleotide ribosomal RNA is filed under the name uncultured Nitrospira sp. RNAcentral's name for it is "partial 16S ribosomal RNA". It matches the Rfam family "Bacterial small subunit ribosomal RNA", at positions 335 to 520 of the family's 1533-position model. Lineage: Bacteria; Pseudomonadati; Nitrospirota; Nitrospiria; Nitrospirales; Nitrospiraceae. The record is from RNAcentral.
ACUCCUACGGGAGGCAGCAGUAAGGAAUAUUGCGCAAUGGGCGAAAGCCUGACGCAGCGACGCCGCGUGGGGGAUGAAGGUCUUCGGAUUGUAAACCCCUUUCGGGAGGGAAGAUGGAGCGAGCAAUCGUUCGGACGGUACCUCCAGAAGCAGCCACGACCAACUUCGUGCCAGCGCCGCGG